GGGGGUGAUUGGUGUCGACCCGGCGCACGUUACCUUCUGCAGCGAGUCGAGGUGCCGCAGGCCUCGUUAAAAGCGGCAAAAACCUAAACGCGAACACACAAAACUACGCGCUCGCGGCCUGAUGGCCGCGCGUCCGCACCGCUCCAGUUGGACGAGCGGUAAACGGGCGUAACUAAAUCCAACUCACCAGCCUGGUGGGGCCGCCCGGCCAGGCAGGAAAAUCAAAGGGCGGCUGGCGCGCGGUCAGCAGGGCUCCCCAGGUAGAUCGCCGCGAGACAAACGAGGGAGAUACGCUCGUAGACGCAGGGGGUUGAGUGGUUGGGGACGGGAGUUCGAGUCUCCCCACCUCCACCA
This 354-nucleotide transfer-messenger RNA is filed under the name Armatimonadota bacterium. RNAcentral's name for it is "Armatimonadetes bacterium transfer-messenger RNA". It matches the Rfam family "transfer-messenger RNA". Rfam says of the family: Bacterial tmRNA, also known as 10Sa RNA or SsrA, is named for its dual tRNA and mRNA-like properties. Its role is to liberate the mRNA from a stalled ribosome. To accomplish this part of the tmRNA is used as a reading frame that ends in a translation stop signal. Lineage: Bacteria; Bacillati; Armatimonadota. The record is from RNAcentral.